AACGAACGCUGGCGGCAUGCCUAACACAUGCAAGUCGAACGAGACCUUCGGGUCUAGUGGCGCACGGGUGCGUAACGCGUGGGAACCUGCCCUUAGGUUCGGAAUAACUCCCCGAAGGGGGUGCUAAUACCGGAUAAUGUCUUCGGACCAAAGAUUUAUCGCCUUUGGAUGGGCCCGCGUUGGAUUAGCUAGUUGGUAGGGUAAAAGCCUACCAAGGCGACGAUCCAUAGCUGGUCUGAGAGGAUGAUCAGCCACACUGGGACUGAGACACGGCCCAGACUCCUACGGGAGGCAGCAGUGGGGAAUAUUGGACAAGGGGCGAAAGCCUGAUCAAGCAAUGCCGCGUGAGUGAUGAAGGCCUUAGGGUUGUAAAGCUCUUUUACCCGGGAUGAUAAUGACAGUACCGGGAGAAUAAGCUCCGGCUAACUCCGUG
Molecule: ribosomal RNA, 433 nt
Filed under: uncultured bacterium
Lineage: Bacteria
Description: partial 16S ribosomal RNA
Rfam family: Bacterial small subunit ribosomal RNA
Source: RNAcentral